RNAcentral lists this ribosomal RNA (439 nucleotides) under uncultured bacterium. RNAcentral's name for it is "partial 16S ribosomal RNA". It matches the Rfam family "Bacterial small subunit ribosomal RNA", at positions 339 to 795 of the family's 1533-position model. The record is from RNAcentral.
CUACGGGUGGCUCCAGUGAGGAAUAUUGCACAAUGGGGGGAACCCUGAUGCAGCAACGCCGCGUGGAGGAUGACGCAUUUCGGUGUGUAAACUCCUUUUAUAUGUCAAGAAAAUGACGGUAGCAUAUGAAUAAGCACCGGCUAACUCCGUGCCAGCAGCCGCGGUAAUACGGAGGGUGCAAGCGUUACUCGGGAUCACUGGGCGUAAAGGACGCGUAGGCGGGUUGGAAAGUCAGGUGUGAAAUCCUACAGCUUAACUGUAGAACUGCACCUGAAACUUCUAAUCUAGAGUAUGGGAGGGGGAGAUGGAAUUAGUGGUGUAGGGGUAAAAUCCGUAGAUAUCACUAGGAAUACCUAAAGCGAAGGCGAUCUCCUGGAACAUUACUGACGCUAAGGCGUGAAAGCGUGGGGAGCAAACAGGAUUAGAUACCCCGGUAGUC